CACGAACUUAGCCCGUGCUUCCUCCAGGGAUAGGUCAACCUUGCGGCUUCCUCCCCCUCGACAGUGCUUUACAACCCGAAGGCCUUCAUCGCACACGCGGCGUCGCUUGGUCAAGCUUGCGCUCAUUGCCAAAGAUCCUCGACUGCAGCCUCCCGUAGGAGUCUGGCCAGUGUCUCAGUGCCAGUGGCGCGGGUCGUGCUCUCACACCCGCUACGCGUCUUUGCCUUGGUGAGCCGUUACCUCACCAACUAGCUGAUACGACAUGGGCCCCUCUUCAGGCGAAAUUCUUUAGUGAUCCGGUGAUGCCGCCCAAUCACCACGCCGUGUAUUACCCAAUCGUUAGAAAGGCUAUCCACGACCUGAAGGUAGGUUACCCAUGUAUUACUGCCCCUUUCGCCACUUCUCCAGCAGAGUUGCCCCCAUAGAUUCGUUCGACUUGCAUGCCUAAUCCACGCCGCAACGUUCAUUCUGAGCCAGGAUCAAACUCU
Molecule: ribosomal RNA, 488 nt
Filed under: uncultured Planctomycetaceae bacterium
Lineage: Bacteria; Pseudomonadati; Planctomycetota; Planctomycetia; Planctomycetales; Planctomycetaceae
Description: partial 16S ribosomal RNA
Source: RNAcentral